CUCAAUCCACUGAGCCGUACCAACCAGGGCGAGAAGCAUGAUUUUAAAGGAGAAAAAAACCAACCUGCAUUCACAGAAUGCUUUGUUACCCAGUCCUGACUUUUCAAGAUAACAGAAAGGUACCAACUCCAGGCCAAGUCCCACCCUCAGCACUGAGGAUGCGGAGGAGCUAGCCCCUCCCUUCAAGGAGUCUG
Molecule: long non-coding RNA, 194 nt
Organism: Artibeus jamaicensis (Jamaican fruit-eating bat)
Lineage: Eukaryota; Metazoa; Chordata; Mammalia; Chiroptera; Phyllostomidae
Exons: 3
Source: RefSeq, a predicted model, not a curated record